AGUUAGCUUAUAAAAUGUAAAGACAUUUCAGAAAUUUAUGUGAAUUUGACAUAUAAACAGUUAAUAUGAAAUUAUUGUAUCAUUAAAACAUCUAGGAUAUCCCCAUAUACAGUGAAUGCCUACAAAAAACAAAACAUGGAUAUUAGUUGUUAUAAGGGGAUUUUCUAAUCGAAAUCAAUUCUAAUUCCCCCUAGAGUACUCUAUUACUUAUUCAUACAAUCAGUGGGAUUCCUGGCAUAUAAAUGAAAAAAACCCUAAAAAAUACCCAUAAUAAUUGGGGAAAAUAUGUUAAAAGCAACAAACAAAUGAUUUAAAUAUCCCAACUUGGAAUUUUUUUAUUAUGAGUUAUGCAAAAUGAAAGUAAGUUUAAGUUUGUAUUGCUUACGAGAAAAAAAUUUUUGAGAUAGGGCGGAAAUUACAGAAAGUAUAAGCUGGAGUAUGAGUCACCUUCAUCAGAUUUAUAAAAGGGUCUUCGUCACUUUGCUGCUGGCUUCUCAAAACGUCUCACAGGAGUCAACAGGACUGGGUGUUACAACUCAUUUUGGAUGGUUUGUUUUUAUCAAAACUUUCUGUUAAAUUGAAAGACCCCAGUGAAGCCCUAAGUAGAUCGUUCAGAUGUGGCAGGAAACAAAGGAAGUUAGUGGUAUCCUUGUACUGAACAUGUGUGCGUACCUUCUUCGUUCAUGCUUAAGAGGAAGCCUGCUCAGGUAUGUGGUUUAUAUAUAUAUAUAUAUAUUUCUAUUUAUUUUUUUUUCAUCACUGGGAUCUUUGUGCAAAUGUGCAAUUUAGGAAAUGGAACACAGGCCCGAUUUAAUUAAAGGAUAUAUUUUCUGCCUCUACGGCAUUAUUAAGUACAGAGAAAAC
Non-coding RNA from Pelobates cultripes (western spadefoot toad), 864 nucleotides. NCBI's taxonomy places the organism in Eukaryota, Metazoa, Chordata, Amphibia, Anura, Pelobatidae. The record is from the annotation of a GenBank genome assembly.